This 430-nucleotide ribosomal RNA is filed under the name Verrucomicrobiota bacterium. RNAcentral describes it as "Verrucomicrobia bacterium partial 16S ribosomal RNA". It matches the Rfam family "Bacterial small subunit ribosomal RNA", at positions 355 to 776 of the family's 1533-position model. The record is from RNAcentral. Lineage: Bacteria; Pseudomonadati; Verrucomicrobiota.
UAGGGAAUCUUCGGCAAUGGGGGGAACCCUGACCGAGCAACGCCGCGUGAGUGAAGAAGGUUUUCGGAUCGUAAAGCUCUGUUGUUAAGGAAGAACGAGUGUGAGAAUGGAAAGUUCAUGCUGUGACGGUACUUAACCAGAAAGGGACGGCUAACUACGUGCCAGCAGCCGCGGUAAUACGUAGGUCCCGAGCGUUGUCCGGAUUUAUUGGGCGUAAAGCGCGCGCAGGUGGUUUAGAAAGUCUGAUGUGAAAGCCCACGGCUCAACCGUGGAGGGUCAUUGGAAACUAAUAAACUUGAGUGCAGGAGAGAAAAGUGGAAUUCCUGGUGUAGCGGUGAAAUGCGUAGAGAUUAGGAGGAACACCGGUGGCGAAAGCGGCUUUUUGGCCUGCAACUGACACUGAGGCGCGAAAGCGUGGGGAGCAAACAGG